UACAGACUGACCUAGCAGACAAGCCAAGACAGUAGAACUUAUUUCCCAGGAGGAAAUUAUG
This 61-nucleotide non-coding RNA is filed under the name unclassified sequences. The record is from RNAcentral.